RNAcentral lists this transfer RNA (74 nucleotides) under Heterocephalus glaber (naked mole-rat). It matches the Rfam family "tRNA". From Rfam's summary of the family: Transfer RNA (tRNA) molecules are approximately 80 nucleotides in length. Their secondary structure includes four short double-helical elements and three loops (D, anti-codon, and T loops). Lineage: Eukaryota; Metazoa; Chordata; Mammalia; Rodentia; Bathyergidae. The record is from Rfam by way of RNAcentral.
GGGAAUGUAGCUCAGUGGUAGAGCACUUGCCUAAGUGUGCAAGAGGCCCCUGAGUUUGAUCCUUAGCACUGCAA